Carassius gibelio (silver crucian carp) is the source of this 1884-nucleotide long non-coding RNA. RefSeq lists it as uncharacterized. The record is from RefSeq and is a predicted model, not a curated record. Lineage: Eukaryota; Metazoa; Chordata; Actinopteri; Cypriniformes; Cyprinidae. The transcript is spliced from 2 exons.
UUGUCACAGUGUGACAAAUGGCAUGUGGAACUUAUUCCCGCUGAAGCAGUGUUCCCGGGGGAACGCUUUGAGUGUAACCCUGUUCCCAGGCCUGUGUGUGCGUUUGUUGCUGUGACAACCCCAAAUGAUGGAUUGGCAACAGGUGUGGGGGAUUUACUCAGAGUUUGCGUGAGGCCUCAUCAACAGUGGAGAGGAUAAAAAGCAAGAGAGAGAGGUGGUGCGUGUGGUUUUUCUCCCCUGUGAAAAGUCGUUUUAUUGGGUGGUAAUAGUUACUGGAGGACGGGUGAAUGAAGAGGACAGUGUUGCUUGAUGAGGGAUUCGAGAACAACAGCAGGAGAGUGAAUUACCCUGUUUGCAUUGGAGAGGAGCUGAGUAACUGAGAACUGAGUCUUGUAAUUGCACACGUUUGACACUGAAUUGGAUGUGGUUUGGAGUGUUUGGAUCACGAUCAUAAAUAUCACUGAGUGGAUUGUAUUGAUUCAUUACCGAUCUCUUACCUCUCCCUCCUCUAUAAAUGGUGAUGUGAACUCUGCCUGUGACUGUGAAGAAAAACAUCUCAGAACAUCCUCAGUGGCAGUGAGGAUUGCGCCCUCCCCCUUCCCCUCGGACAGAAACCCGAAUGAGAAGAGAUGCCCUGUUGAAAUAUUUACUAUCUGCCUCAGAAAAGCUCUGUGCAACCUGUUGACUUCGAGUCUGCUGUAUCCCUGCUAUUCGUCUGUAUUGUGAGAAGUGUUCGUUCCUUCCAAUGCAUGUGAACUGUAUACUUGCCUGAAACAUCCAUUCUGUCUGUCUCAGAAGAAGCCCUAUUCAGCCUGUUGACUUCGAGUCUGCUGUAUCCCUGCCAUUCAACUGUAUGGUGAGAAGUGUUCGCUCCUUCCAAUGCAUGUGAACUGUAUACUUGCCUGAAACAUCCAUUCUGUCUGUCUCAGAAGAAGCCCCAUUCAGCCUGUUGACUUCGAGUCUGCUGUAUCCCUGCCAUUCAACUGUAUGGUGAGAAGUGUUCGCUCCUUCCAAUGCAUGUGAACUGUAUACUUGCCUGAAACAUCCAUUCUGUCUGUCUCAGAAGAAGCCCCAUUCAGCCUGUUGACUUCGAGUCUGCUGUAUCCCUGCUAUUCAUCUGUAUGAGGAAGCCCCAUUCAGCCUGUUGACUUCGAGUCUGCUGUAUCCCUGCUAUUCAUCCGUAUUGUGAGAAGUGUUCGUUCCUUCCAACGCAUGUGAACUGUAUACUUUGUCUGAAGCAUCCAUUCUGUCUGUUUCAGUAGAAACCCUGCACAGCCUGUUGACUUAGAGUUUGUUGCAUCCUUGUGGCCCACCUGUGCUGAGAGAGGUGACUGUCCUUUGUCACGAACGUGAGAUGGGCACGCUUUGUCUGGAAUAUCCACUCUGACGGUGUCAGGAGAAGCCACCUUACUGUAAGACCGUGCACCUGCCGUAUACGUACUUGACUGAUAUCAUUCACCUCAAAUUCCGUACCUGUGGAAGAAGGAAGGAAGGCUGGAAUUACAUACUUACCGGAGGAGACUUACCGGACCCCUCACUUGCCAAACACAUCCCCACCUCAAGGCUGUGUAUCUGCCGUGUACGGACCUGACCGAUAUCCAUCCGUCCCAAAUUCUGCAUCUGUGAAGAAGGGAAGGGAGUUUGGAAGUAUUUAAUUACCAGAGGAGACUUACCAGACUGCGGGCUUGCCGAUUGUAUUCCCACCUGUGAAAUACCUACUUGACCACCCAUCUGUCCAUCUAUUGCGGGGCCCGCACAGAGGAAGAGGGCGGGAGAGUCCCCGGUCGCUGCAUUGUUUACCUUCAAGCCCUGAGGGUAACAAAGAAGAUUUUAGGUUAGGAUUCCCAAUUUGCUUUUACUUCAAAAUAAAACUUGUUAAAUUUA